This is a long non-coding RNA of Lagopus muta (rock ptarmigan), 502 nucleotides long. RefSeq lists it as uncharacterized. The transcript has 4 exons. Lineage: Eukaryota; Metazoa; Chordata; Aves; Galliformes; Phasianidae. The record is from RefSeq and is a predicted model, not a curated record.
CCUCUGCACCAUGGGAAACCAGCAGCUGAGUGAACUCCAUUUAUCACUCUCACCCUCCUAAAAAAGAAAUCUAUUUCCCCAUAGAGCUUGCUAGAAUGAAUAAAAUCUAAAACCAAAUUUCUGUACAGACAGACUUCAGGCUAAAUCUUCAACUCGUGGGAUUAACUUUGUUGAACCUACAGCGAUUGUACUAGGAUAUUAAGUCAUGGAUUCAUGGAUCAAAACUUGUUAGCAGAGUUACUCCCUACCAAUGGCUCUCUUUGUCUUACAUGGAAGUGAUGCUGUUGCAUCCUGAUAAGGCCUUUACCAGCUCCAUCUGACCAUUUCCACGCUACUCUUCCUGCAGUUUUCUGAAAAAUCUGACCUCUAGAAUUGACUUUGCAACCAUUUGGUGACUCUGUAUCCUAUCUGCUAAAGAAGCCCUGAGAGCAGAUCUGGGAGCAAUGCCAGAGACAAGAGGCUUUGCCAAGCUGUUCUGGGGACCAGCUCAUUCUGCCCUGUU